This 83-nucleotide transfer RNA is filed under the name Oscillospiraceae bacterium. RNAcentral's name for it is "tRNA-Leu". It matches the Rfam family "tRNA". Rfam says of the family: Transfer RNA (tRNA) molecules are approximately 80 nucleotides in length. The record is from RNAcentral. Lineage: Bacteria; Bacillati; Bacillota; Clostridia; Eubacteriales; Oscillospiraceae.
GCGGGUGUGGCGGAACUGGCAGACGCGCUAGACUUAGGAUCUAGUGGUAAUCCGUGGGGGUUCGAGUCCCUUCACCCGCACCA